RNAcentral lists this ribosomal RNA (641 nucleotides) under uncultured bacterium. RNAcentral's name for it is "bacterial SSU rRNA". The stretch from base 1 to 540 matches the Rfam family "Bacterial small subunit ribosomal RNA", at positions 338 to 873 of the family's 1533-position model. The record is from RNAcentral.
CCUACGGGAGGCAGCAGUGGGGAAUUUUGGACAAUGGGCGCAAGCCUGAUCCAGCAAUGCCGCGUGAGUGAAGAAGGCCUUCGGGUUGUAAAGCUCUUUUGUCAGGGAAGAAAAGGGUCUGGCUAAUAUCUAGGCCUCAUGACGGUACCUGAAGAAUAAGCACCGGCUAACUACGUGCCAGCAGCCGCGGUAAUACGUAGGGUGCAAGCGUUAAUCGGAAUUACUGGGCGUAAAGCGUGCGCAGGCGGUUUUGUAAGACUGUCGUGAAAUCCCCGGGCUCAACCUGGGAAUGGCGAUGGUGACUGCAAGGCUAGAGUUUGGCAGAGGGGGGUAGAAUUCCACGUGUAGCAGUGAAAUGCGUAGAUAUGUGGAGGAACACCGAUGGCGAAGGCAGCCCCCUGGGUCAAAACUGACGCUCAUGCACGAAAGCGUGGGGAGCAAACAGGAUUAGAUACCCUGGUAGUCCACGCCCUAAACGAUGUCUACUAGUUGUCGGGUCUUAAUUGACUUGGUAACGCAGCUACGCGUGAGUAGACCGCCGUCGGGAGGUACGGUCGGUCGAGUUAAGUUAAACGUUAAAGUUAAGUUAAGUUAGUUACGGCGUUGAGACGUUAGCCGACGGACGACGACGAGGGAGGAGG